AGAGACAGCAGCAGCCGCGGUAAUACGUAGGGUGCAAGCGUUAAUCGGAAUUACUGGGCGUAAAGCGUGCGCAGGCGGUUAUAUAAGACAGAUGUGAAAUCCCCGGGCUCAACCUGGGAACUGCAUUUGUGACUGUAUAGCUAGAGUACGGCAGAGGGGGAUGGAAUUCCGCGUGUAGCAGUGAAAUGCGUAGAUAUGCGGAGGAACACCGAUGGCGAAGGCAAUCCCCUGGGCCUGUACUGACGCUCAUGCACGAAAGCGUGGGGAGCAAACAGGAUUAGAUACCCGCGUAGUCCCUGUCUCUUAUAA
This 309-nucleotide ribosomal RNA is filed under the name uncultured bacterium. RNAcentral describes it as "partial 16S ribosomal RNA". It matches the Rfam family "Bacterial small subunit ribosomal RNA", at positions 504 to 809 of the family's 1533-position model. The record is from RNAcentral.